Molecule: ribosomal RNA, 390 nt
Filed under: uncultured bacterium
Lineage: Bacteria
Description: bacterial SSU rRNA
Rfam family: Bacterial small subunit ribosomal RNA
Source: RNAcentral
GACGAACGCUGGCGGCGUGCUUAACACAUGCAAGUCGAGCGGUAAGGCCCUUUCGGGGGUACGACGAGCGGCGAACGGGUGAGUAACACGUGGGUGACCUGCCCUCAGCUCUGGGAUAAGCCUGGGAAACUGGGUCUAAUACCGGAUAUGACUCCAUGACGCAUGUUGUGGGGUGGAAAGCCUUGUGCGGCUGAGGAUGGGCCCGCGGCCUAUCAGCUUGUUGGUGGGGGGACGGCCUACCAAGGCGACGACGGGUAGCCGGCCUGAGAGGGCGGACCGGCCACACUGGGACUGAGACACGGCCCAGACUCCUACGGGAGGCAGCAGUGGGGAAUCUUGCGCAAUGGGCGAAAGCCUGACGCAGCGACGCCGCGUGAGGGAUGACGGCCU